This 84-nucleotide transfer RNA is filed under the name Paramuribaculum intestinale. RNAcentral's name for it is "tRNA-OTHER". It matches the Rfam family "tRNA". Rfam says of the family: Transfer RNA (tRNA) molecules are approximately 80 nucleotides in length. Their secondary structure includes four short double-helical elements and three loops (D, anti-codon, and T loops). Further hydrogen bonds mediate the characteristic L-shaped molecular structure. tRNAs have two regions of fundamental functional importance: the anti-codon, which is responsible for specific mRNA codon recognition, and the 3' end, to which the tRNAs corresponding amino acid is attached (by aminoacyl-tRNA synthetases). tRNAs cope with the degeneracy of the genetic code in two manners: having more than one tRNA (with a specific anti-codon) for a particular amino acid; and 'wobble' base-pairing, i.e. permitting non-standard base-pairing at the 3rd anti-codon position. The record is from RNAcentral. Lineage: Bacteria; Pseudomonadati; Bacteroidota; Bacteroidia; Bacteroidales; Muribaculaceae. RNAcentral also lists the same sequence under 2 other names.
GGCCGGAUAGCUCAGUUGGCAGAGCAACCGCGCGGUAACCAAUCCGCCGGGGUGUCCGUGGUUCGAGUCCACGUCCGGCCACCA